RNAcentral lists this long non-coding RNA (2317 nucleotides) under Marmota monax (woodchuck). Lineage: Eukaryota; Metazoa; Chordata; Mammalia; Rodentia; Sciuridae. The record is from RNAcentral.
GAGCUGUAACACUUUGAAGAAUCCUACUUCAGCUGAGGGACUGGGAGAACUCAUUCUUUGUGUGUAUGUGUGUAUUGCUAAGUUAUGAUCCAACAUUCGAGGAAGGAUUUUAAAUUGUGUUUAUUUUUUUAUUAUUCUGAUUUGUUAUACAUGAUGGCAGACUGCAAUUCAUUUCAUAUUACACAUAUAGAGCACAAUUUUUCAAGACACUGGUUGUACACAAAGUAUUUUCACACCAUUCAUGUCUUAUACAUGUAUUUAGGAUAAUGACAUCUAACUCAUUCCACCAUCAUCCCUACCCCCUUGCCCUCUCCUUUCCCCUUCCUCCCCUUUGGCCUAUCUAAAGUUCCUCCAUUCCUCUAGUGCUCCCCCCGCCCCCCAUUCGCCAUUGCGCCUCUGCAUCCUCAUAUCAAAGAAAACAUUCGGCCUUUGGUUCGCUUAGCAUUAUAUUCUCCAACUUCAUCCAUUUACCUUCAAAUGUCAUGAUUUUGUUCCCUUUUAAUGCUGAAAGUACGCCCAAAUCUCCAUCAUGUCAGAUUAGGCCCCAACUUUCUUAAUAAAACUCCUGUAGCAUAAGAAUCAAUAAAUGGGAUGCAUUCAUACUAAAAAGCUUCUUCUCAGCAAAAGAAACAAUCAGUGAGGUGAAUAGAGAAGAGAGCCUACAGAAUGGAAGCAAAUCCUUAUCACAAGCAUAUCAGAUAGAGCACUAAUCUCUAGUAUAUAUAAAGCACUCAAAAACCUUAACACCAAAAAAAACCCCCAAAUAACCCAAUCAAUAAAUGGGCCAAGGAACUGAACAGACACUUCUCGGAAGAGGAUGUACAAUCAAUCAACAAACUGAAAAAAUGUUCAUCAUCUCUAGCAACUAGAGAAAUGCAAAUCAAAACUACUCUGAUUUCAUCUCAAUCCUGUCAGAAUGGCAAUCAUCAAGACUACAAGCACCAAUAAAUGUUGGCAAGGAUGUGGGGGAAAAGGCAUGCUCAUACAUUGCUGGUGGAACUGCAAAUUGGUGCAAUCACUCUGGAGAGCUCUAUGGAGAUUCCUUGGAAAACUGGGAAUGGAACCACCAUUUGACCCAGCUAUCCCACUCCUUGGUUUAUAUCCAAAGGACUUAAAAACAGCAAACUACAGGGACACAGCUAUAUGAAUAUUUGUAGCAGCACAAUUCACAAUAGCUAAAUUAUGGAACCAGCCUAGAUGCCCUUCAGUAUAUGAAUGGAUAGGGAAACGUUGGUAUAUAUAUAUAUAUACCCAAUGGAAUAUUAUUCAGCAUUAGAUUGUGUUUCUUAAUUAGGGGAAAUAUAAAUCCUUAACUCUAGGACACAUUUGAUGAGGGAUAGAAGGACUCCUCCACAGAGAGUUCCUACUCUAGGAUUUUGUGAGGGUUAGUAUAAAAAGAUUAUAACUUUAAGAUCGUUUAGCUUUCCACACUUGUACAUGCAUGUAUGCAUAUAAUUUGACUUAAAGGGAUUUCAUACAUUUUCUAAAAGAAACUAAGAUAUUUUGGGAGACUUGGAUGUAUAAGGAAAGGGAGAGAAACCAUCUUAUACCAAGUACAUUGGUUUUGUGAUUCUAGUUACUUCUUUUGACAACCCUGCAAAAUAAUUAUAUUAGAACAUGGAAAACUGAGACUCUGAAGUGGUCACAGAGCUUUUAUGUUGUAGAACAAGGAUCUGACCGUGGACCUGUUGGAUCUAAAGUUCCUCCACUGUGCCCAAUCCUUCCUUUGCUAUAAAUGUGUCCUUGGAAAAAUGACAGCUUUGUUUUUAGUCAAAAAAAUCAUGGCAGUAGGAUAUUUUUCUAAGGUUACCCAAGGGAGAAGAGGUGCCAAGCAUCCUGAUGGUGAGGUAGCACCCAAUUCCUAAAAAGAUGAUAUCAGCAAUCAGUGGAAGUAGUUUGGACUCUAAACUGGAGAAAGAAUCAUUUUGAGCACUGCUGUGUAGCCUCCAGACAGAUUAUUUGGGAAAGUAAAUCAAAGGCAGAGUGUGUCAAUCUAAUGGACCUAAAGGAGAGUUAUAUUGUCCCAUCCUUCCUAACCCUUUAAAAGUUUGAAUAAUGAUGAAUUGAAAACAUUUGUGUAGGCAGAAAGACAAACUUCUCCUCUGUGAUCUUAAAAGAAAAAAAAUUAGUUACUUUUCUCCAACUCUGGACCUUUCUUAUUGAGUGACACAUAAUUACGCAUUAACAGCAUAUGUUACAGUAUACUUUGUACAAUCAUAAUCUAAAUUUCAAUGUAUUUUUUUCUAAAGGUACAGUUAAAAAGUACAACUGGUAAUAUUAUAAUGAUAACUAAUACUAACAAUAAAUAAUAAUUGAG